GACGAACGCUGGCGGCGUGCUUAACACAUGCAAGUCGAACGGUGAAGCGCCUUCCUUUUUGGUGGGUGUGGAUGAGUGGCGAACGGGUGAGUAACACGUGAGUAACCUGCCCCCUUCUUCUGGAUAACCGCAUGAAAGUGUGGCUAAUACGGGAUAUUCUGGGUCUGUCGCAUGAUGGGUCUGGGAAAGAUAUUGUUUCGGUGGGGGAUGGGCUCGCGGCCUAUCAGCUUGUUGGUGGGGGGAUGGCCUACCAAGGCGGUGGCGGGUAGCCGGCCUGGGGGGGUGGACGGUCACACUGGGACUGAGACACGGCCCAGACUCCUACGGGAGGCAGCAGUGGGGAAUAUGGCACAAUGGGCGCAAGCCUGAUGCAGCGACGCCGCGUGAGGGAUGGAGGCCUUCGGGUUGUGAACCUCUUUCGCCAGUGAAGCAGGCCUGCCUCGUUUGUGGGUGGGUUGACGGUAGCUGGAUAAGAAGCGCCGGCUAACUACGUG
Molecule: ribosomal RNA, 494 nt
Filed under: uncultured bacterium
Lineage: Bacteria
Description: partial 16S ribosomal RNA
Rfam family: Bacterial small subunit ribosomal RNA
Source: RNAcentral